RNAcentral lists this unclassified non-coding RNA (403 nucleotides) under uncultured Archaeosporales. RNAcentral describes it as "sequence contains ITS2". The stretch from base 1 to 153 matches the Rfam family "5.8S ribosomal RNA". The record is from RNAcentral. Lineage: Eukaryota; Fungi; Glomeromycota; Glomeromycetes; Archaeosporales.
AACUUUCGACAACGGAUCUCUUGGCUCUCGCAUCGAUGAAGAACGCAGCGAAUUGCGAUAAGUAGUAUGAAUUGCAAAUUCUGUGAAUCAUCGAAUCUUUGAACGCAUAUUGCGCUCUCUGGUACUCCGGAGAGCAUGCCUGUUUGAGGGUAAUUAACAGAAUCUUUAACCUUUCUUGGUUAAAGGAUAUGGGCAUUCCGCGAUUAGCGGUGGCCUAAAAUAUAUGGUCAGUCUCAUCGAGUUGAGAUGCGUAAUAAUUAUUAUUUCGCAAAAGUAUUUUGAUGAGCUACCAGGUUUUGAUUCAUUCAACUAUGUUGGAUGUGGUUAAAACAAAUAUUUUUGACAUUACCUCAAAUCAGGUAGGAAUACCCGCUGAACUUAAGCAUAUCAAUAAGCGGAGGCU